This 69-nucleotide transfer RNA is filed under the name Marmota monax (woodchuck). RNAcentral's name for it is "tRNA.Ala". The record is from RNAcentral. Lineage: Eukaryota; Metazoa; Chordata; Mammalia; Rodentia; Sciuridae.
GUAGUGGCUCAGUGGUAGAGUGCUUGCCUGGCAUGUGUGAGGCCCCUGGGUUCAAUCCUCAGGACCACA